GACGAACGCUGGCGGCGUGCCUAAUACAUGCAAGUCGAGCGGAUCUCGGAUGGAGCUUGCUCCUGAAGAGGUUAGCGGCGGACGGGUGAGUACACGUAGGCAACCUGCCCUUAAGACCGGGAUAACAUUCGGAAACGAAUGCUAAGACCGGAUAGGCAACGAGGUCGCAUGAUCUUGUUGAGAAACACGGUGCAAGCUGUGGCUUAGGGAUGGGCCUGCGGCGCAUUAGCUAGUUGGUGGGGUAACGGCUCACCAAGGCGACGAUGCGUAGCCGACCUGAGAGGGUGAACGGCCACACUGGGACUGAGACACGGCCCAGACUCCUACGGGAGGCAGCAGUAGGGAAUCUUCCACAAUGGGCGCAAGCCUGAUGGAGCAACGCCGCGUGAGUGAGGAAGGCUUUCGGGUCGUAAAGCUCUGUUGCCAGGGAAGAAUAAGGAUGAGGUAACUACUCAUUCGAUGACGGUACCUGAGAAGAAAGCCCCGGCUAACUACGUGCCAGCCGCCGCAGUAAAAC
Molecule: ribosomal RNA, 517 nt
Filed under: uncultured bacterium
Lineage: Bacteria
Description: bacterial SSU rRNA
Rfam family: Bacterial small subunit ribosomal RNA
Source: RNAcentral